UACGAAGGGGGCUAGCGUUGUUCGGAAUCACUGGGCGUAAAGGGCGCGUAGGCGGCCUGAUAAGUAGGGGGUGAAAUCCUGCGGCUUAACCGCAGGGCUGCCUUCUAAACUGUCAGGCUAGAGCACAGUAGAGGCAGGUGGAAUUCCCGGUGUAGCGGUGGAAUGCGUAGAGAUCGGGAAGAACAUCAGUGGCGAAGGCGGCCUGCUGGGCUGUUGCUGACGCUGAGGCGCGACAGCGUGGGGAGCAAACAGG
This 253-nucleotide ribosomal RNA is filed under the name uncultured bacterium. Its description in RNAcentral is "partial 16S ribosomal RNA". It matches the Rfam family "Bacterial small subunit ribosomal RNA", at positions 524 to 776 of the family's 1533-position model. The record is from RNAcentral.